This 468-nucleotide ribosomal RNA is filed under the name uncultured bacterium. RNAcentral's name for it is "partial 16S ribosomal RNA". It matches the Rfam family "Bacterial small subunit ribosomal RNA", at positions 28 to 507 of the family's 1533-position model. The record is from RNAcentral.
GACGAACGCUGGCGGCGUGCUUAACACAUGCAAGUCGAACGGAAAGGCCAUGCUUUUGUUGGGUGCUCGAGUGGCGAACAGGGGAGUAACACAUGAGUAAACUGCCCUUAAAUUUCUGGUAACUUCUGGAAACUGGGGCUCAUACCGCGUAGAAGCUCCUGCUGCAUGGUGGUCGAUGGUGAGAUUCGGCGGUAGGGGAUGUAUUCGCGGCUUAUCCGCUUGUUGGUGGGGUAGUGGCUUACGAAGGCUUUGACGGGUAGGCGGCAUGAGAGGGUGACCGGCCACAAUGGGACUGCGAUACGGCGCAGACGCCUACGGGAGGCAGCAGUGGGGAAUAUUGCACAACGGGCGGAAGCCUGAUGCAGCAACGCCGCGUGCGGGAUGACGGCCUACGGGUGGUAAACCGCUUUCGCAGGUGACGAAGCGUGAUUGACGGUAAUGGGUAAAGAAGCAACGGCUAACUACGUG